AGAGUUUGAUCAUGGCUCAGAAUCAACGCUGGCGGCGCGCCUAACACAUGCAAGUCGAACGAGAAAGUGGAGCAAUCCAUGAGUAAAGUGGCGUACGGGUGAGUAACACGUGGAUCAUCUGCCCUUUAGUGGGGAAUACCGUUGGGAAACCGACGACAAUACCGCAUAAGCUCGAGAGAGGAAAGCAGAAAUGCGCUGAAGGAGGAGUCCGCGGUCGAUUAGCUAGUUGGUAGGGUAAUGGCCUACCAAGGCUGUGAUCGAUAGCCGGCCUGAGAGGGCACACGGCCACACUGGCACUGAAACACGGGCCAGACUCCUACGGGAGGCAGCAGUGGGGAAUCUUGCACAAUGGGGGAAACCCUGAUGCAGCGACGCCGCGUGAGCGAUGAAGCCCUUCGGGGUGUAAAGCUCUUUCGGCAGGGAAGAUUAUGACGGUACCUGCAGAAGCAGCUGCGGCUAACUACGUGCCAGCAGCCGCGGUAAUACGUAGGCAGCAAGCGUUGUUCGGAGUUACUGGGCGUAAAGGGUGCGUAGGCGGCUCUAUAAGUAUGGUGUGAAAUCUCCCGGCUUAACUGGGAGGGUGCGCUAUAGACUGUGGGGCUAGAGUGUGGGAGAGGAAAGUGGAAUUCCUGGUGUAGCGGUGAAAUGCGUAGAUAUCAGGAGGAACACCGGUGGUGUAAACGGCUUUCUGGACCAUAACUGACGCUGAGGAGCGAAAGCGUGGGGAGCGAACAGGAUUAGAUACCCUAGUAGUCC
This 756-nucleotide ribosomal RNA is filed under the name uncultured bacterium. Its description in RNAcentral is "bacterial SSU rRNA". It matches the Rfam family "Bacterial small subunit ribosomal RNA", at positions 8 to 796 of the family's 1533-position model. The record is from RNAcentral.